GAUGAACGCUGGCGGCGUGCCUAAUACAUGCAAGUCGAGCGAACAGAUGAGGAGCUUGCUCCUCUGACGUUAGCGGCGGACGGGUGAGUAACACGUGGAUAACCUACCUAUAAGACUGGGAUAACUACGGGAAACCGGAGCUAAUACCGGAUAAUAUAUUGAACCGCAUGGUUCAAUAGUGAAAGACGGUUUUGCGGUCACUUAUAGAUGGAUCCGCGCCGCAUUAGCGAGUUGGUAAGGUAACGGCUUACCAAGGCAACGAUGCGUAGCCGACCUGAGAGAGUGAUCGGCGACACUGGAACUGAGACACGGUCCAGACUCCUACGGGAGGCAGAAGUGGGGAAUCUUCCGCAAUGGGCGAAAGCGUGACGGAGCAACGCCGCGUGAGUGAUGAAGGUCUUCGGAUCGUAAAACUCUGUUAUUAGGGAAGAACAAAUGUGUAAGUAACUAUGCACGUCUUGACGGUACCUAAUCAGAAAGCCACGGCUAACUACGUG
This 497-nucleotide ribosomal RNA is filed under the name uncultured bacterium. RNAcentral's name for it is "partial 16S ribosomal RNA". It matches the Rfam family "Bacterial small subunit ribosomal RNA", at positions 28 to 507 of the family's 1533-position model. The record is from RNAcentral.